This 79-nucleotide unclassified non-coding RNA is filed under the name Salmonella enterica subsp. enterica serovar Typhimurium str. STM709. It matches the Rfam family "Pseudoknot of the regulatory region of the repZ gene", at positions 71 to 150 of the family's 150-position model. The record is from RNAcentral. Lineage: Bacteria; Pseudomonadati; Pseudomonadota; Gammaproteobacteria; Enterobacterales; Enterobacteriaceae.
ACGGGUAAAGUAUAAUGAAACCGUACCAGAGAUUCAACCCUGUGCAGUGUAUAAAUACACGGCACAAUCGCUCCGCCAU